CGACCCUUACGCCCUAGUUGCGUAGCGUUGGGACCUUACCGCCCUCGGCGGUAACUCCCUAAAGUCAGUUGGCAGAGUCACGGCGUGCUCUAAGCGUAGUAAUUAUCUUCUCGCUUCUGAAGACGUCGCGGCAAUCGCCACAAACCCCUAUAUCUUUUAGUGG
RNAcentral lists this unclassified non-coding RNA (163 nucleotides) under uncultured Calceomyces. RNAcentral describes it as "sequence contains ITS2". The record is from RNAcentral. Lineage: Eukaryota; Fungi; Ascomycota; Sordariomycetes; Xylariales; Xylariaceae.